GUUUUUUUCCUUUUCAAUCAGAAAUCAGUAACUCCCUUUCAAUCUCCAUCAAUAUGGCCACAAAAAAUCUUUUGUACACAAACCCAAAACUUUGCCAGCAUCUUGCUGAUUACAAGCUUAGAUAUGGCUUUUGUGGCUAUAAAAAUUUCCCAAAAUCUCUCCAAAAUUGCCUCAAAACUACUCCAAAUGGAAGAACCAGUAUUUAUAAGUGGG
This 213-nucleotide unclassified non-coding RNA is filed under the name Hevea brasiliensis (rubber tree). Lineage: Eukaryota; Viridiplantae; Streptophyta; Magnoliopsida; Malpighiales; Euphorbiaceae. The record is from RNAcentral.